GUAUAAUAUAAAUCUCAUAUUAUUGAAGACAACAAUGUUUACUUAAAGGGUAAUCCCAGUAGACUAACAAAUACCUUAGAAAGCCAAGUAUAUUCCUAAUUUAGGAUCAUGGUAUACCAUUAAACUGCAAUAGUUUUCUUCAAAUAAAUGAAAGCUGGAUAUCAAAAAAACAAUUCUCAGAUAUCGUAUAAGACCUAAAGUACUCUAAAUUUCCACCGAAUGCAAUGUUCAAUGCUCUAGCAACAGCUAGACGUUCAAAGAGUAUUAUGCCUUGACUUUCUUGUAUUGCUUUAUCU
This 296-nucleotide unclassified non-coding RNA is filed under the name Hevea brasiliensis (rubber tree). Lineage: Eukaryota; Viridiplantae; Streptophyta; Magnoliopsida; Malpighiales; Euphorbiaceae. The record is from RNAcentral.